RNAcentral lists this ribosomal RNA (253 nucleotides) under uncultured bacterium. RNAcentral's name for it is "partial 16S ribosomal RNA". It matches the Rfam family "Bacterial small subunit ribosomal RNA", at positions 524 to 776 of the family's 1533-position model. The record is from RNAcentral.
UACGGAGGGUGCAAGCGUUGUCCGGAAUUAUUGGGCGUAAAGAGCUUGUAGGCGGUCUGUCGCGUCUGCUGUGAAAAUCCGGGGCUCAACCCCGGACUUGCAGUGGGUACGGGCAGACUAGAGUGUGGUAGGGGAGACUGGAAUUCCUGGUGUAGCGGUGAAAUGCGCAGAUAUCAGGAGGAACACCGAUGGCGAAGGCAGGUCUCUGGGCCACUACUGACGCUGAGAAGCGAAAGCAUGGGGAGCGAACAGG